Molecule: ribosomal RNA, 448 nt
Filed under: uncultured bacterium
Lineage: Bacteria
Description: bacterial SSU rRNA
Rfam family: Bacterial small subunit ribosomal RNA
Source: RNAcentral
CCCAGACUCCUACGGGAGGCAGCAGUGGGGGAUAUUGCACAAUGGGGGGAACCCUGAUGCAGCGACGCCGCGUGGGUGAAGGAGUGCUUCGGCAUGUAAAGCCCUAUCGGCAGGGAAGAAGCAAGACGGUACCUGACUAAGAAGCCCCGGCUAACUACGUGCCAGCAGCCGCGGUAAUACGUAGGGGGCGAGCGUUAUCCGGAUUCACUGGGUGUAAAGGGAGCGUAGACGGCUGUGCAAGCCAGAUGUGAAAGCCCGGGGCUCAACCCCGGGACUGCAUUUGGAACUGCGUGGCUUGAGUGUCGGAGAGGCAGGCGGAAUUCCUAGUGUAGCGGUGAAAUGCGUAGAUAUUAGGAGGAACACCAGUGGCGAAGGCGGCCUGCUGGACCGUGACUGACGUUGAGGCUCGAGAGCGUGGGGAGCAAACAGGAUUAGAUACCCGAGUAGC